GAUGAACGCUAGCUACAGGCUUAACACAUGCAAGUCGAGGGGCAGCGGGAUUGAAGCUUGCUUCAAUUGCCGGCGACCGGCGCACGGGUGAGUAACGCGUAUCCAACCUUCCGUACACUCAGGGAUAGCCUUUCGAAAGAAAGAUUAAUACCUGAUGGUAUGAUGAGAUUGCAUGAUAGCAUCAUUAAAGAUUUAUCGGUGUACGAUGGGGAUGCGUUCCAUUAGGUAGUAGGCGGGGUAACGGCCCACCUAGCCUACGAUGGAUAGGGGUUCUGAGAGGAAGGCCCCCCCANAUUGGAACUGAGACACGGUCCAAACUCCUACGGGAGGCAGCAGUGAGGAAUAUUGGUCAAUGGACGAGAGUCUGAACCAGCCAAGUAGCGUGAAGGAUGAAGGUCUUACGGAUUGUAAACUUCUUUUAUAAGGGAAUAAACCCUCCCACGUGUGGGAGCUUGUAUGUACCUUAUGAAUAAGCAUCGGCUAACUCCGUGCCAGCAGCCG
This 501-nucleotide ribosomal RNA is filed under the name uncultured bacterium. RNAcentral's name for it is "bacterial SSU rRNA". It matches the Rfam family "Bacterial small subunit ribosomal RNA", at positions 28 to 517 of the family's 1533-position model. The record is from RNAcentral.